AACUUAAUAGAAGAACAGGAAAAAUUAUUAAAAUGGAUGAUUUUUCAAUAUUUUAAUAACUCUUACUAGUCGAAUUUUAUUUCUUUCACUUUAGUGAAUUCAUUAAAGAAAAUUUCUAUCAUUUUGGCCUUAUCCUUUUUUAGUGCACUUAAUCCAAAACAAAUGUCUUUAUAAUCCCUUUUUCAGAUUCAGUAAUUAAAAUUAAUAUCAUUUCCUUACAUCCACCCG
Molecule: long non-coding RNA, 228 nt
Filed under: Vigna radiata
Lineage: Eukaryota; Viridiplantae; Streptophyta; Magnoliopsida; Fabales; Fabaceae
Description: long non-coding RNA (VRAD_LNC017933)
Source: RNAcentral